RNAcentral lists this ribosomal RNA (240 nucleotides) under uncultured bacterium. Its description in RNAcentral is "partial 16S ribosomal RNA". It matches the Rfam family "Bacterial small subunit ribosomal RNA", at positions 91 to 334 of the family's 1533-position model. RNAcentral also lists the same sequence under 1 other name. The record is from RNAcentral.
ACGAGUGGCGGACGGGUGAGUAAUGCUUGGGAAUCUGGCUUAUGGAGGGGGAUAACUACGGGAAACUGUAGCUAAUACCGCGUAAAAUCUUCGGAUUAAAGGGUGGGACUUUCGGGCCACCUGCCAUAAGAUGAGCCCAAGUGGGAUUAGGUAGUUGGUUAGGUAAAGGCUGACCAAGCCGACGAUCUCUAGCUGGUCUGAGAGGAUGACCAGCCACACUGGAACUGAGACACGGUCCAG